This is a non-coding RNA of Nicotiana tabacum (common tobacco), 6919 nucleotides long. The record is from RefSeq and is a predicted model, not a curated record. Lineage: Eukaryota; Viridiplantae; Streptophyta; Magnoliopsida; Solanales; Solanaceae.
UGUUACAAAUGACAUAAGACAGAGUGUGCGCGCGCGCGCGGCGCGUGUGUUUGGGAGAGAGAGAAUUGGAAAAUGGAAGGAUUGGUUGAAGGCUUCUUCGCAGGUAACGUGCCAUGUCUGAUGAUCUGAAGAAGAGCAUUUCACUUCAAUUUUCAUUCCUUUCUCCAUAAUGGAAGAUCGAGAAUCUGUGGAAUCUAGGACAAAGAAGUCCAGUAUAUCCUCAGGUGGCAGGGUCCAAGAACGUGAAGAAUUUCUCCGUAGGUUUGUAGAUAGCGAAAGCUUGGUUGAGAACCUUAAGACAUGGUAUGGAGAGUUAGCCAAGAAUUCAGAGGAACCUCCUUUUGAUGCUCCUUUUGAAUUAGUAGAUCUUCAAAAGUUUGAUUAUGCUUUGGAAGGAGUUCCAUUUCAGCAGCUGGUUCGAAUCCCUAGUGCAAUCUAUGAUUCGGCUUCUGGCGCUGUGGAAGCAACUGCUUAUCUUGCCCUUGAAGAUUUUCUUCAUGCAAGUGUGAAGGGUUUGAUCGGAACAAACCCUAUUAUUUGUAAAAGAAAGAAACAAAAGAAGACUAAAAGAAGUAGAAGAAGACAAAGAGAAAAAGCAAGAAUGAAAAGAAAGAAAACGAGGGAAGAAAGGAAAAGGAAAAGUUGGUGGGCUGCAAAUGUGAAAGAAUGAAUUUGGCGCGUAGUUUGCGGUGUUAUCCUGCCACGUAUUCACAUUCGCUGAAAAUAGACGCUCUGCCUAUAAAUAGGUAUUCUCUUGUUCAGUUGUAGAUCAUCACACAAAUUCUUCUCUCUCUCAAUAUCAAUAAAGCUAUUCUCUGUACGGCCGUGGAGUAGGCAAAAAUUGCCGAACCAUGUAAAUCUUGUAUUUUCUUGUCUUGUACAAUUUAUUGCUUUUCUCUUUAAAUAUAUUUUUCCUUUCUAUUAGCCUGACACGCAUCCCACCAACUGGUAUUAGAGCACAGACAAUGUAAUUUUCGUAGAAAAGUACGGUAUUGGUGCAAGUACUAUUCACAAUAAUAGUGCGACACUAUUGAUCAUCAAUAUUAACACUAUUCACAAUAGUGAAGUAUUAUUCAUUAAUAAUGAUAGUACUGAUCACCAAUAGUGAGUAUUGUCUACUUUAUACGGUUGAGACAUUUUCCUACACAGAGUACUAUUCGCGGUUACUAUUCACAUAAAAAAUAUUUUUUUGGUGAAGAAAUAGCAUCGGAAGAAGGAAAAGUUAAAGAUUGACAAGUUUAAUGGCAAAGAUUUUGGAUUCUGGAAAAUGCAAAUAGAGGAUUAUUUGUACCAGAAAAAUUACAGUUACCUCUGACCGAGGUAAAACCAGAGAAUAUGGCCAAAGCGAAUUGGGAUCUAUUAGAUCACCAAGCUUUUGGCGUGAUUCGUUUGACGCUGACACGAAAUGUAGCGUUUAAUAUCAUUAACAAGAAGAUCAUUGCAGGCCUGAUGAAGGCGUUAUCAAAUAUGUACGAGAAGCCAUCUGCUUCAAAUAAAGUCUAUUUGAUGUGUAGACUUUUCAACCUAAAGAUGACAGAAGGUGGAUCUAUCACGGAACAUAUCAAUGAGUUUAAUGUAAUAUUAACUCAGUUGAGUUCUGUUAAUAUAACAUUUGAUGACGAAGUUAGGGCGUUGCUUCUACUAUCAUCUCUACCAUAGAGUUGGUCCGCAAGAGUAAUUGCAGUUAGCAGUUCAUCGGGAAGGACCAAACUCAAAUUGGAUGAUAUCAUAGACAGUUUUAAAUGAAUAUUCACCGGAGAGAAUCAAGUGAUUCCCUAGGAUCUGCUUUUUAAUACCGAAAGCAGGGGAAGAAACAACCAAAGAGGUCAAAGUCAUGGUCGUGACAGAUCAAAGUCAAGGAGAAAGGGGCAAUCCAAAAAUCGCAAAGGCAUUACUUGUUGGAAUUCCGAUAAAAAGGGUCACUACAGUAGUCAGUAUAGAGAACCAAAGAAGAAGAAAGAUGAAAAUUCAGCAAAUGUAAUUGCUGAACAAGUUGGUGAUGUACUAAUUUUGUAUGCAGAUAGUCCAGUCGAAUCUUGGAUUCUGGACUCAGAUGCAUCCUUUCACUCUACCUCAUGCAAAGAAUUAUUGCAUAAUUAUAUUGCUGGAAAAUUUAGGAAGCUUUAUCUAGCAGACGGCGAACCUUUAGAUAUUGUCAAGAAAGGUGAAGUCCAUAUAAAGACUUCAUAAGGCACGCUAUGAAAAUAUCAAAAUGUCCGACAUGUUCCUGGCCUCAAGUAAAAUCUGAUAUCCAUGGGUUAGAUUGAUAGUGAAGGAUACACAACAGUAUUUUGUAACAGAUCGUGGAAGAUAAACAAAAGAAAUUUGGUUGUGGCACGAGGCUUCAAGAAAGGAACACUGUAUACAACCGCAAUACAGAGAGAUACUAUAGCAACAAUUGACCAUGGCGUGACACAAUAUUGUGGCAUCGAAGGGUCGGGCAUAUGAGUGAGAAGGAAAUGAAGUUGUUGGCAUCCAACGAAAAGUUACCUAACCUCAAGCAUGUUGAACUAGGUUUAUGCGAAGAUUGCAUUUACGGGAAACAAAAGAGAGUUAGCUUCUCAAAGGCGGGAAGGACGCCAAAGAAAGAGAAGUUGGAACUAAUGCAUACAGAGGUGUGGGGACCAGCUCUUGUAACUUCUUUGGGAGGCUCAUGCUAUUAUGUCACCUUCAUUGAUGAUUCCACGAGAAAGGUAUGAGUUUAUUUUCUGAAAAAUAAAUCUGAUGUGUUUGUUACCUUUAAAAGAUGGAAAGCUGAAGUUAAAAAUCAGACAAGCCUAAAGUUAAAAUGUCUAAAGUCUGACAAUGGAUAUGAGAAUGGGAUCAGAAUGAUUAAGACAGUUCCUGGAACAUUGGAACAAAAUGGCGUUGCUGAGAGGAUGAACAGAAUCCUGAGUGAACGAGCCAAAAGUAUGAGAAUGCAUUCUGGGUUGCCGAAGUAUCUUUUGGCCGAGGCUGUUCACAUGACAACUUACCUCAUAAACAGGGGACCCUCUGUAUCACUAAAUUUUGAAAUUCCUGAGGAGAUAUGGACAGGAAAGGAGGUAACUCUCUCACCUAUGAAAAUCUUUGGUUGUGUUGCUUAUGUGCAUGUAAACUCUAAUGAUAGAGAUAAGCUUGAUCCUAUAGCCAAUAAAUGUUUCUUUAUUGGUUAUGGUGAUGAUAAUUUCGGUUAUCGAUUUUGGGAUGAUCAUAAUAGAAAGAUCUUAAGACACAGGAAUGCUACAUUCAAUGAAAAUGUGAUGUACAAGGACAAGCUUGGUGUAGAACCAACCAGCAGCAGCAGACAAGCAUUUGAAACAAUUGAUUAGAAGAAAUCUCAGAAAAUAAAGUGGCUAGGGAUUAUAACUGAUUCUGAAAUUAAAGAUGAAGAACGAGAAGCCGAAUCUGGAUCAGAAUUAGAUGUAGAACCAAAUCUGGAGGCAGCACUUGAAUCAAUUUCGAAAUCAGUUAAUCCUGAACCUAUAUUAAGGAGAUCUAAAAGAGUCAUGAAUGCUCCAGAUAGGUUAACUCUCUCUUUCUCUCCACUAUUUACUUCUGACUGAUGCUGGAGAAUUAGAGCAUUUUGUUGAAGCAAUGCAGGUGAUGAACUCUGAUAAGUGGAAGCCAACCAUGAAAGAAGAGAUGAAUUCUCUUCGAAAGAAUAAAAUAUGGAUACUUACAGAGUUACCAAACGGAAAGGAGGCAUUGCAGAACAAGUGGAUGUACACGGUUAAGGAAGAGCAUGACGGUAAGAAGAGAUAUAAAGCAUGACUAGUAGUAAAAGGCUUUCAACAAAAAGAAGGAAUUGACUAUACCGAGAUCUUCUCUCUUGUAGUCAAAUUAACUACUAUCAGGUUGGUGCUAAGUAUUGUAGCUGCAGAAAAUUUGCAUUUGGAGCAGCUAGAUGUUAAAAUUGCUUUCUUGCAUGGUGACCUUGAAGAAAACAUCUACAUGAAGCAACCCGAAGAUUUUCAAGUUUCUAGUAAAGAAAACUUUGUGUGUAAGUUGAAGAAGAAUUUGUACAUUUUGAAACAAACUUCCCGACAAUGGUACAAGAAAUUUGAUGGAUUCAUGCAUAACAAUGGUUUCAAACGAUAUGAGAUGGACUGUUGUUAUAUCAAAAAUCUUGACAAAUCCUAUAUCAUUUUAUUGUUGUACGUUGAUGAUAUGCUAAUUGCAAGAUCUAGCAUAAAUGAGAUCAACCAGGGUUAAGCAACAACUGGUGGAGGAGUUCGAAAUGAAAGACUUAGGACCAGCUAAGCAAAUGCUUGGGAUGAGAAUGAGCAGAGACAGGUCUGAAGGAACCUUAAAGUUGUCUCAAGAAAAGUACAUAGAGAAGGUACUAGUAGGUUCGAUCUUCAUGAUGCAAAGACCAAAAGCACUCCACUCGGAAGCCACCUUAAUCUGUAAAAGGACCAAUCACCUAAGAUAUGAAGAAAGGAAGUAUGUGUCUAAAGUUCCAUAUGCUUCAGCAGUAGGAAGUUUGAUGUAUGCUAUGGUUUGCACUAGACCUGACAUAGCCCAUGCAGUUGGAGUUGUCAGUAGAUACAAGUCAGAUACUGGAAAGGAGCAUUGGGAAGGUGUAAAAUAGAUAUUGCGAUAUCUCAAAGGCAUCUCAGGUAUGACACUUUGUUUUAAAAGGAGCAAUAUUAUCUUUCAAGGUUUUGCUGAUGCAAAUUUAGGCGGCGAUCUGGAUAGUCGAAAAAGUACCACAGGCUACGUGUUCACCUUGGGUGGUACUGUUGUUAGCUGGAUGUCCAAACUUCAGAAAAGUGUUGUUCUAUCUACCACUGAAGUAGAGUACAUGGCAAUAUCAAAAGCUGGAAAAGAGAUGAUUUGGCUCAAGAAUCUUCUUAAAGAGCUAGUAAAGAGUAGGACAAUUGUGAGCUUUUUAGCGAUAGACAGAGUGCAAUUCAUCUUACCAAGAAUCCAGUGUUUCAUGCAAGAUCGAAGCAUAUCCAGAUGAGGUAUCAUCAUAUCCGAGAGUUGAUAAGUGAAGGAACUCUUUCCCUACAGAAGAUACUAGGAUCAAAGAAUCCGUCAGAUAUGUUAACCAAAUUUGUCGGUGUUGACAAACUGAGGCUGUGCACCGCCUCAGUUGGCCUUCAAAACUGAUAAUGUGAAGGCGUCACACUAGAGAAUAGUACUUUUUUUAUUGUAGUAUGGGUUUGAAGGGGAGAUUAUCUUUGCAAUUCUUGGAUUGUCCUCUUCCUCUUUGCCAUUGAACUUGUCAAUCUUAACCUUCCCUUCUUCUGACGUCAUUUCUUCACAAUAUGUAUCAACUGUAUAAGGUGGACAACACUCACUAUUAUAUAUAUAUAUAUAUUUCUUUUAUAACCGCAAAUAGUAACCACGAAUAAUACUCUGUAUAGGAAAAAUGUAUCAACUGUAUAAGGUAGACAACACUCACUAUUGGUGUACAAUACUAUCACUAUUAAUGAAUAAUACUUCACUAUUGUGAAUAAUGUUAGUAUUGAUGAUCAAUAGUGUCGCACUAUUAUUGUGAAUAGUAUUUGCACCAAUACCGUACUUUUCUACCAGAAUUACACUGUCUGUGUUUUGAUACCAGUUGUUGGGAAGCGUGUCAGGCUAAUAGAAAGGGAAAAACAUAUUUAAAGAGAAAAGCAAUAAAUUACACAACACGUGAUAAGAUAAGAUUUAUAUGGUUCAGCUAUUUUUGUCUACUUCACGGCCACAUAAAGAAUAGUUUUAUUGAUAUUGAGAGAGAAAGAAGAAUUUGUGUGAUGAUCUACAACUAAAAAAGAUAAUGCCUAUUUAUAGGCAGAGCGUCUGCCGAAAAAAAAAGUUUUCAGCGAAUGCGAUUACGCGACAGGUUGGCACCACAAAUUACGCUCCGAAUUCUUUCUUUCACAUUUGCAGCCCACCAACUUUGGCUUUUCCUUUAUUCUCCCAUUUUCUUUAUUUUCAUUCUUGCUUUUUCUCUUUGUCUUCUUCUACUUUUUUUUGUCUUCUUUCUUUUCUUUCUCUUACAGUAAAUAGGGUUUGUUCCUAUCAGGGCUUAUGGGAGGCAUUUUGGGGUCAGGAUGAACCUAUGCCUUUCUAUGUUUCUAGUAUCUACAAUUCAAACUUGAGAUUCUACUAAGCCGAGAAAGCCAUUGCUAAAAGGAGACUUGAAGGUCUUUGUGCUUAUACUGUAAUGCUAAAGAACCCAAAGCAUCCACAAGGGAAGUGGGAUGAUAUUCUGGAACUUGCUAUUCUAAGGCCUGGUAUUGGAACCCGUGCUACAAUAGAGAAUGACAGUACUUUUUGCUACUUUCCACUCAAUCACUCAGUACGCUGGAAUGUCAAAGAACUCAGUUGAAGAUUUGGCUGCUGAACACAGCUCUCGUCUUCAAGCAAGAAGUGAAAGGCAAUUGGGCGAUAGCAGAUCGAAUGGAAAUUAAAUGGUUUAUUUCGCUUCGAGCAUCAUAGUGCUUCACCUGAAAUCAUGAAGAAUCCGUCGCUUUGGUAUCUGAAAAGUCCAUGAAGCUGGAAGUAGGUUCUGUCUUGUUGAUAGAAGAUUCAAACUGGAAGAAGGGUUAUCAGAUCAACUAAGGCUUUGUUUCUGUAUGUACUUCUCAGCUGAAACCAGCAUGGGAAGAUAUGAAGCAUAUGGUUCUGUCUUGUUGAUGGAAGAUUCAAACUGGAGGUUCUACUGCUUGUUCAGUUGUUUGUGCAGUUCGUUGGAACGAAGACCGUUGAAGUUAUCGGCAUUGAGUUGUUACAUAUAUGUAUUUUUCUUACAAAUUUUAUUAUUGUAAAGAUAGGAAUUAGUGAGAUUGCACUCAACUGUGUGAUUGUUUUGCUUACGGAUAUGGACUUGUAGGACACUGCUCAAGAAAUCAUUCUAUAUCUGUAAAUGGAAUAUAUCCUUCAUCACUUUAUGAAACUCCAUGGUUGAGUUGAAAUAGUCAAUGAAUCAUUAUUCUUUUGUUCA